AAGGGAGACCUAAUUCGGGUAUAAGACGAAAAAAAAGUAGUCCCUACCAAGAAUCAAUCCCAAAAGGUCGGAACGAGGUAUGAGGCUUUCAAACUAGGUUCUGGGUUCAUGAAAGACCUGAAUCAGGAACAAGGGCUAUUAGCUCAGGUGGUUAGAGCGCACCCCUGAUAAGGGUGAGGUCCCUGGUUCGAGUCCAGGAUGGCCCACCUGCACAGGUGGCAAAAACAAGAGAAGCGAGGAAUCAGCACCUUAUCUUAUAUACAUAUAUAAGAGAGAAUGCUGGCUCUGAGUACAGAGUCCAGAGGAACCUUGAAAACUGCAUAGAGCUAGGUGAAAAAGCCAAAAAAGAAGACCGCAAGGUCAAGCUAAUAAGGGCUAACGGUGGAUACCUAGGCAC
This 397-nucleotide transfer RNA is filed under the name uncultured Microcystis sp. RNAcentral's name for it is "partial contains 16S-23S ribosomal RNA intergenic spacer, and 23S ribosomal RNA". The stretch from base 133 to 206 matches the Rfam family "tRNA". Lineage: Bacteria; Bacillati; Cyanobacteriota; Cyanophyceae; Chroococcales; Microcystaceae. The record is from RNAcentral.